AACGUAGGGGACAAGCGUUAUCCGGAUUUACUGGGCGUAAAGCGCCCGUAGGCGGCUUUGUAAGUUGGACGUGAAAGCUCCCGGCUUAACUGGGAGAGGCCGUUCAAAACUGUAGAGCUAGAGUGAGGCAGAGGAGUGCGGAAUUCCCGGUGUAGUGGUGGAAUGCGUAGAUAUCGGGAGGAACACCAGUGGCGAAAGCGGCACUCUGGGCCUAAACUGACGCUGAGGAGCGAAAGCGUGGGGAGCGAACAGG
Molecule: ribosomal RNA, 253 nt
Filed under: uncultured bacterium
Lineage: Bacteria
Description: partial 16S ribosomal RNA
Rfam family: Bacterial small subunit ribosomal RNA
Source: RNAcentral